Molecule: ribosomal RNA, 301 nt
Filed under: uncultured bacterium
Lineage: Bacteria
Description: partial 16S ribosomal RNA
Rfam family: Bacterial small subunit ribosomal RNA
Source: RNAcentral
CAGUCGCCGCGGUAAUACGAGGGGGGCAAGCGUUGUUCGGAAUUAUUGGGCGUAAAGGGUGCGUAGGCGGCCCCGCAAGUUUCGUGUGAAAUCUUCGGGCUCAACUCGAAGUCUGCACGGAAAACUGCCGGGCUUGAGUAUGGGAGAGGUGAGUGGAAUUUCCGGUGUAGCGGUGAAAUGCGUAGAUAUCGGAAGGAACACCUGUGGCGAAAGCGGCUCACUGGACCAUUACUGACGCUGAGGCGCGAAAGCUAGGGGAGCAAACAGGAUUAGAUACCCCGGUAGUCCCUGUCUCUUAUAC